RNAcentral lists this long non-coding RNA (257 nucleotides) under Vigna radiata. RNAcentral's name for it is "long non-coding RNA (VRAD_LNC003743)". The record is from RNAcentral. Lineage: Eukaryota; Viridiplantae; Streptophyta; Magnoliopsida; Fabales; Fabaceae.
GUACUGUAUCUAAAGGAUAAGCAUGGUCGUUUAGCCACCCAAGUAAAAGUGAAGAAAAACCGGUAGUAUGAACUACAGUGGAAGAUCUUGCAAAAAAGGUGCUUGAAGCAAGAUAUGACUAGAAAGAGCUCAGAUAACUCCACUCUUGAGGUACAUGUAACAUGUUUGUUACCAGGUGCAGAAGAUAUAAAAUUGGAAGAAGUCGUGCUUGAUAAAAGAUGGAAGAAAGUUAUUCAUGCAUUUCUUUUACUCCUCCC